This 253-nucleotide ribosomal RNA is filed under the name uncultured bacterium. RNAcentral's name for it is "partial 16S ribosomal RNA". It matches the Rfam family "Bacterial small subunit ribosomal RNA", at positions 524 to 776 of the family's 1533-position model. The record is from RNAcentral.
GACGUAGGGCGCGAGCGUUGUCCGGAUUUAUUGGGCGUAAAGAGUUCGUAGGCGGUUUGUCGCGUCUGCUGUGAAAACCCGAGGCUCAACCUCGGGCCUGCAGUGGGUACGGGCAGACUAGAGUGCGGUAGGGGAGAUUGGAAUUCCUGGUGUAGCGGUGGAAUGCGCAGAUAUCGGGAGGAACACCCGUGGCGAAGGCGGCACUCUGGGACGGUACUGACGCUGAGACGCGAAAGCGUGGGGAGCAAACAGG